Vidua macroura (Pin-tailed whydah) is the source of this 1119-nucleotide long non-coding RNA. RefSeq lists it as uncharacterized. NCBI's taxonomy places the organism in Eukaryota, Metazoa, Chordata, Aves, Passeriformes, Viduidae. The record is from RefSeq and is a predicted model, not a curated record. The transcript is spliced from 5 exons.
AGAGUGUUUGUAAUAAACCACCUUGUCUGCAUGCCAAGAGAUUGCCACAGAGAGAAACAAAUUGCUGCUGAUGACAGAGGAAAAGAGUCUUCAGAAAGUCCCUUUCAGAAAGCUUUUGAUGAGAUGAUGCGAGAGACUUGGCAGUCUUACGUUGGAAGCAAGAUAAUUGAUUUGAGUUUGUUAUGACACUGCAACUUGUUACAACAAGCAGUCUGUCCUCUGCAAGAGCAGAGCAAGAGGAGAGCAGGUCUGUGCACUUCUGCUGGGGUGGAAAUUCUCUGGCUUUCAGUGUUUGCACAGUGAAUUCAAUGUCAACACAUGUACAGACAGCAGAUCUCGGAGGAGUCAGAGUUUCAGGAAAGAAGGAUCCAGUGAUUUUUAUUGUUAAAACAAGCCCUGCUUCUAACUCUGCUGGAAUGCAGCUGCACACUAUGUACUGGAAAUCUGGAUGCCAGGGAAGUGUUAAUCCCUGCAGUCAAGGAAUACCAGACAUGGAUAGGCACAUUCCCAGAAGAGUUACAUUCCAAGGUUUACACUUCCAGUGAAAUUCUGUCUGAGAAGUGCUGGAAAAAGAAAGAUACAGCGUGGGCAGGAAGAGAGAGAGAGACACCACGUCUUCUUGAGAGACACCAUGACUUACCAACUCUGUGUCAAAGCUUUUCUUUCAGCUAAAGAGUCAGCAGCAGAAGAGGAGCAGUGAAUUCCAACAUGCAAAACAGCAACAUGUACAAGGUACUGUUAAAGGCCCUGAAAAUUAGUAUUCACACCUCAGGUGAGUAGAAAUAAUAGAAGAAAUAAGAAGUUUUUUCAGUUGAGUAGACAUUAACACAGCCCUAACUGCAAGAAAAAGGCAGUCCACAUGUAUUUAAUGUUAACAUUAAUAUAUCUGAGGAUAAUUCUUAUCUAAUGAACACCCAGAUUCUUUCCUUGGUUAGUGUUUAAGUAGUCUAACUUUCUUUUAGGAUGUUGAGUAUCUUUUCUUGUUCAGUGGAGUCAGUAGUACCUUUGCUUCUUGGAAAUUUGUGUGCUCUUAGGGUUUCCAUCUUUAGUGUCCUCUGUGCAUUUUAAUUGUUCCAAUAAUCUCUGGUUAAAAAAAAAGGUUUUUCUAAAAUGCUGACA